CCUGCGCAUCAAGGCGAACCGCGAAUGCUCAUUAAUCAGACAUGGUCCUGGAUCGUACUUUCUACUGGAUAACUGUGGAAUUCUAGAGCUAAUACAUGCAGCAGAGCUCCGNCNUCGGGAACGAGCGCNUUUUUAGACCAAAACCGAUCGGGCCUCGUGNCGCUCUCCGUGGUGACUCUGUGUAACUUUGGGCUGAUCGCACGGGCUCGUNCCGGCGACGUAUCUUUCAAGUGUCUGCCUUAUCAACUGUCGAUGGUAGGUUACGCGCCUACCAUGGUCGUAACGGGUAACGGGGGAUCAGGGUUCGAUUCCGGAGAGGGAGCCUGAGAAACGGCUACCACAUCCAAGGAAGGCAGCAGGCGCGCAAAUUACCCACUCCCGGAACGGGGAGGUAGUGACGAAAAAUAACAAUACGGGACUCUUUUGAGACCCCGUAAUUGGAAUGAGAACACUUUAAAUCCUUUAACGAGGAUCAAUUGGAGGGAAAGUCUGGUGUCAGCAUCUGCGGUAACUCCAGCUCCAAUAGCGUAUAUUAAAGUUGUUGCGGUUAAAAAGCUCGUAGUUGGAUCUCAGUUCGGGAGGGAAGGUNNCCUAUCGGCGGUCACUUUCCCGUCCCAACACC
RNAcentral lists this ribosomal RNA (622 nucleotides) under Dolichognatha incanescens. RNAcentral describes it as "SSU rRNA". It matches the Rfam family "Eukaryotic small subunit ribosomal RNA", at positions 69 to 693 of the family's 1831-position model. Lineage: Eukaryota; Metazoa; Arthropoda; Arachnida; Araneae; Tetragnathidae. The record is from RNAcentral.